This is a transfer RNA of Phlebiopsis gigantea 11061_1 CR5-6, 79 nucleotides long. It matches the Rfam family "tRNA". Rfam says of the family: Transfer RNA (tRNA) molecules are approximately 80 nucleotides in length. Their secondary structure includes four short double-helical elements and three loops (D, anti-codon, and T loops). Further hydrogen bonds mediate the characteristic L-shaped molecular structure. tRNAs have two regions of fundamental functional importance: the anti-codon, which is responsible for specific mRNA codon recognition, and the 3' end, to which the tRNAs corresponding amino acid is attached (by aminoacyl-tRNA synthetases). tRNAs cope with the degeneracy of the genetic code in two manners: having more than one tRNA (with a specific anti-codon) for a particular amino acid; and 'wobble' base-pairing, i.e. permitting non-standard base-pairing at the 3rd anti-codon position. Lineage: Eukaryota; Fungi; Basidiomycota; Agaricomycetes; Polyporales; Phanerochaetaceae. The record is from Rfam.
GGCGCUAUAGUGUAGUGGUUAUCACUUGGGAUUCUGAUUGUAAGUUCCCAAAACCCAGGUUCGAGCCCUGGUAGCGCCU